Molecule: non-coding RNA, 546 nt
Organism: Peromyscus maniculatus bairdii (prairie deer mouse)
Lineage: Eukaryota; Metazoa; Chordata; Mammalia; Rodentia; Cricetidae
Source: RefSeq, a predicted model, not a curated record
AUGGGACCAUGGAACAUGGGACUCAGGCCCCCGACCCUGCAGUCCUGACCAGUGCACACAGCUGCCUGCCCUUUUCCCUUGUGUCCAUCCCAGAGCGGCCUUCUGCCAGGUCCACUUGAAUCUCUUGAAGAGCUGAGUGAGUCCUGUGUGUGCCUAGCCCUGCCACAGCUCAGGGACCUGGACAGCCUGCCUGUUGAGGGGAGGUUGUGGAUGUCCUGGUCCCUAGUGAUCCCUGCUUCAGGUGAUGUGGGGCAGCAUCCACCUUAAUGCACUUCACCAAGGAGGCCAAAGUUUUGGAAGGAAGCCCUUCUCCUCUACCAUCUCAAUAUCGGACCAUCGGUCCAUGGAACAUGGGACUCAGGCCCCCGACCCUGGGGUCCUGACCAGUGCACACAGCUGCCUGCCAUCCCGAGGAAGGGUAUUUGGUCUUUCAAUGGGUUUUGAAUAAUUGUCAUUGUUUAGGAUGGUUGGUUACAAGUUGUUAAUUGCUAGUGGUCAGGAAAAAAGUUAAACAAAGGAAAUUAGAUUUAUGGUUCUUGUUUGAAA